GGGAAUAUUGCACAAUGGGCGCAAGCCUGAUGCAGCGACGCCGCGUGAGGGAUGACGGCCUUCGGGUUGUAAACCUCUGUUAGCAGGGAAGAAGAGAGAUUGACGGUACCAGCAGAGAAAGCGCCGGCUCACUACGUGCCAGCAGCCGCGGUAAUACGUAGGGCGCGAGCGUUGUCCGGAAUUAUUGGGCGUAAAGAGCUUGUAGGCGGUUUGUCGCGUCUGCUGUGAAAGGCCGGAGCUUAACUCCGUGUAUUGCAGUGGGUACGGGCAGACUAGAGUGCAGUAGGGGAGACUGGAAUUCCUGGUGUAGCGGUGGAAUGCGCAGAUAUCAGGAGGAACACCGAUGGCGAAGGCAGGUCUCUGGGCUGUAACUGACGCUGAGAAGCGAAAGCAUGGGGAGCGAAC
Molecule: ribosomal RNA, 405 nt
Filed under: uncultured bacterium
Lineage: Bacteria
Description: bacterial SSU rRNA
Rfam family: Bacterial small subunit ribosomal RNA
Source: RNAcentral